UACGAAGGGGGCGAGCGUUGUUCGGAUUUACUGGGCGUAAAGGGCGCGCAGGCGGUCUUGAAAGUCAGGCGUGAAAGCCCCGGGCUUAACCUGGGAAUUGCGCUUGAUACUCUGAGACUGGAGUACGGGAGAGGAGAGUGGAAUUCCCAGUGUAGAGGUGAAAUUCGUAGAUAUUACCAGGAACACCAAUGGCGAGGGCAGCUUGCUGGGCCGACCCUGACGCUGAGGUACGAAAGCGUGGGGAGCAAACAGG
This 253-nucleotide ribosomal RNA is filed under the name uncultured bacterium. RNAcentral's name for it is "partial 16S ribosomal RNA". It matches the Rfam family "Bacterial small subunit ribosomal RNA", at positions 524 to 776 of the family's 1533-position model. The record is from RNAcentral.